Peromyscus eremicus (cactus mouse) is the source of this 668-nucleotide long non-coding RNA. RefSeq lists it as uncharacterized. The record is from RefSeq and is a predicted model, not a curated record. The transcript is spliced from 2 exons. Lineage: Eukaryota; Metazoa; Chordata; Mammalia; Rodentia; Cricetidae.
AACGUGGAUGAUGCAAGUGGCCUCGGCCUGCAGUGAAGAUGGCUGUGAAAUUUCCCAUGCCACAGGAUAUUCUCAGAGCUGGGACAGGCUCUCUGAGGACUGUGAAGGGUGCUGAUGUGAGCUCCCCUUCCAGACAGAGCUGGGCAGAGUUCAUGCCCGCUGGCUCCAUUGUGUUCCUCGGGUGUGUCCUGAUUGGGUUGAACUGGAGUAUUUGCACCACUGUUUGAGAUUUAAAUCUAUGAAGGGUGACUCCCUCCUCAAAGGAACUGGAAGAAGCAGAAGAGGAGGCGAUCUACUCCCCUAAGCCUACCAUCCACAUCCCGGUUUUUUUCCCCAAAGAUUCUGCCUCUGGGAAGGCAGGCUUCUGGAACACUCCUAGGGGGACCUGCUCCGUGGCAGCUGCCUUUGGAUGCCAUCACCAUGGCAAAUCCCCACAGCUCUUGUUAAAAGUGUGCACAGAAAUCCCUGCAGGGUACCUGAGGACUCCGCCCUCUUCGAAGUCAACAUGGGGAGCUUUCUUGGGCUAUGGUACCAUGUGCCCUGACAUCCACACUGACCAGCUCUGUGGCUUCUGACACAGUCUCCAUCUUAUCUGCAAAGAUGACUCUGUACACACAUUGGUCUGUGAUUUUGAUCUAAGAAUUAAAUAAAACCUUAUGUUCAGAGAC